Molecule: non-coding RNA, 91 nt
Filed under: Streptomyces zinciresistens K42
Lineage: Bacteria; Bacillati; Actinomycetota; Actinomycetes; Kitasatosporales; Streptomycetaceae
Description: Streptomyces RNA 3202
Rfam family: Streptomyces RNA 3202
About the family: Identified by deep sequencing of transcriptome at the end of exponential growth phase. Appears smaller on northern blot than sequencing transcript.
Source: Rfam by way of RNAcentral
CCAAGUCCCGGAGCACUCCCCCCGGCGCCGGGACUUUCCCAGAGCCGGGCUUCGGCGCCUGUCCCCCCUGGUGCCGGGGCCCGGCUCCACG